GAUGAACGCUGGCGGCGUGCUUAACACAUGCAAGUCGAACGGAAAGGCCACAGCUUGCUGUGGUACUCGAGUGGCGAACGGGUGAGUAACACGUGGGUGAUCUGCCCUGUACUUCGGCAUAAGCUUGGGAAACUGGGUCUAAUACCGGAUAGGAAUCACAUGUGGGUGUGUGGUUGGAAAGCUUUUGCGGUAUGGGAUGAGCUCGCGGCCUAUCAGCUUGUUGGUGGGGUAAUGGCCUACCAAGGCGUCGACGGGUAGCCGGCCUGAGAGGGUGUACGGCCACAUUGGGACUGAGAUACGGCCCAGACUCCUACGGGAGGCAGCAGUGGGGAAUAUUGCACAAUGGGCGCAAGCCUGAUGCAGCGACGCCGCGUGGGGGAUGACGGCCUUCGGGUUGUAAACUCCUUUCGUCAGGGACGAAGCGAAAGUGACGGUACCUGGAUAAGAAGCACCGGCUAACUACGUG
This 466-nucleotide ribosomal RNA is filed under the name uncultured bacterium. Its description in RNAcentral is "partial 16S ribosomal RNA". It matches the Rfam family "Bacterial small subunit ribosomal RNA", at positions 28 to 507 of the family's 1533-position model. The record is from RNAcentral.